This 407-nucleotide ribosomal RNA is filed under the name uncultured soil bacterium. RNAcentral's name for it is "bacterial SSU rRNA". It matches the Rfam family "Bacterial small subunit ribosomal RNA", at positions 26 to 429 of the family's 1533-position model. The record is from RNAcentral.
AGAUUGAACGCUGGCGGCAUGCCUUACACAUGCAAGUCGAACGCGAAAGGGGGGCAACCCCCGAGUAGAGUGGCGAACGGGUGAGUAAUACAUCGGAACGUAUCCAGUAGCGGGGGCUAACCUCUCGAAAGAGAGGCUAAUACCGCAUACGACCUACGGGUGAAAGAGGGGGAUCGCAAGACCUCUCACUAUUGGAGCGGCCGAUGUCGGAUUAGCUAGUUGGCGGGGUAAAAAGCCCACCAAGGCUACGAUCCGUAGCUGGUCUGAGAGGACGACCAGCCACACUGGACUGAGACACGGUCCAGACUCCGUACGGGAGCAGCAGGUGGGGAAUUUGGACAAGUGGGCGCAAGCCUGAUCGAGCCAGUCGCCGCGUGAGUGAAAGGAAGGCCGUUUCGGGUUGUAAA